Molecule: transfer RNA, 73 nt
Filed under: Neotoma lepida (desert woodrat)
Lineage: Eukaryota; Metazoa; Chordata; Mammalia; Rodentia; Cricetidae
Rfam family: tRNA
About the family: Transfer RNA (tRNA) molecules are approximately 80 nucleotides in length. Their secondary structure includes four short double-helical elements and three loops (D, anti-codon, and T loops). Further hydrogen bonds mediate the characteristic L-shaped molecular structure. tRNAs have two regions of fundamental functional importance: the anti-codon, which is responsible for specific mRNA codon recognition, and the 3' end, to which the tRNAs corresponding amino acid is attached (by aminoacyl-tRNA synthetases). tRNAs cope with the degeneracy of the genetic code in two manners: having more than one tRNA (with a specific anti-codon) for a particular amino acid; and 'wobble' base-pairing, i.e. permitting non-standard base-pairing at the 3rd anti-codon position.
Source: Rfam by way of RNAcentral
GAGAGAUGGCUCAGAGGUUAAGAGCACUGGCCACUGCUCUUCCAGAGGUCCUGAGUUCAAUUCUCAGCACUCA